This 509-nucleotide ribosomal RNA is filed under the name uncultured bacterium. Its description in RNAcentral is "partial 16S ribosomal RNA". It matches the Rfam family "Bacterial small subunit ribosomal RNA", at positions 28 to 507 of the family's 1533-position model. The record is from RNAcentral.
GACGAACGCCGGCGGCGUGCUUAACACAUGCAAGUCGAACGAAGAGCGAUGGAAGCUUGCUUCUAUCAAUCUUAGUGGCGAACGGGUGAGUAACGCGUAAUCAACCUGCCCUUCAGAGGGGGACAACAGUUGGAACGGCUUCUAAAACCGCAUACCGUCUAAUCCCGGGAUCGGGGGUAGAUGAAAGGGUGCCUCUUCAUGGAAGGCUAUAACUGAGGGGGGGAUUGCGUCUGAUUAGCUAGUUGGAGGGGUAACGGCCCACCAAGGCGAUGAUCAGUAGCCGGUCUGAGAGGAUGAACGGCCACAUUGGGACUGAGACACGGCCCAGACUCCUACGGGAGGCAGCAGUGGGGAAUCUUCCGCAAUGGACGAAAGUCUGACGGAGCAACGCCGCGUGAGUGAUGACGGCCUUCGGGUUGUAAAGCUCGGUUAAUCGGGACGAAAGGCCUUCUUGCGAAUAGUGAGAAGGAUUGACGGUACCGGAAUAGAAAGCCACGGCUAACUACGUG